Molecule: ribosomal RNA, 468 nt
Filed under: uncultured bacterium
Lineage: Bacteria
Description: partial 16S ribosomal RNA
Rfam family: Bacterial small subunit ribosomal RNA
Source: RNAcentral
GACGAACGCUGGCGGCGUGCCUAACACAUGCAAGUCGAGCGAGGGACUUCGGUCCUAGCGGCGGACGGGUGAGUAACACGUGAGCAACCUGCCUCAUAGAGGGGGAUAGCCUCCCGAAAGGGAGAUUAAUACCGCAUAAUAAACUUUUCUGCAUGGAGAAGUUUUGAAAGGAGUAAUCCACUAUGAGAUGGGCUCGCGUCGCAUUAGCUAGUUGGUGAGGUAACGGCUCACCAAGGCGACGAUGCGUAGCCGACCUGAGAGGGUGAUCGGCCACAUUGGAACUGAGACACGGUCCAGACUCCUACGGGAGGCAGCAGUGGGGAAUAUUGCGCAAUGGGCGAAAGCCUGAUGCAGCAACGCCGCGUGAGUGAAGAAGGCCUUCGGGUUGUAAAGCUCUGUCAUUAGGGACGAAAAUGACGGUACCUAAUGAGGAAGCCACGGCUAACUACGUGCCAGCAGCCGCGGUAA